CCUACGGGUGGCAGCAGUGAGGAAUAUUGGUCAAUGGGCGAGAGCCUGAACCAGCCAAGUCGCGUGAGGGAAGACGGUCCUAUGGAUUGUAAACCUCUUUUGUCGGGGAGCAAAAAGGCCUCGUGAGGCCACAAGUGAGAGUACCCGAAGAAAAAGCAUCGGCUAACUCCGUGCCAGCAGCCGCGGUAAUACGGAGGUUGCGAGGGUUACCCGGAUUUAUGGGGUUUAAAGGGGGCGUGGGCGGACUGUAAAGUCAGCGGUAAAAUCGGGAGGCUCAACCUCGUUCCGCAGUGGAAACUGUCGGGCUUGAGUGGGCGAGAGGUAUGCGGAAUGCGUGGUGUAGCGGUGAAAUGCAUAGAUAUCACGCAGAACUCCGAUUGCGAAGGCAGCAUACCGGCGCCCGACUGACGCUGAGGCACGAAAGCGUGGGUAUCGAACAGGAUUAGAUACCCGAGUAGUC
Molecule: ribosomal RNA, 460 nt
Filed under: uncultured bacterium
Lineage: Bacteria
Description: partial 16S ribosomal RNA
Rfam family: Bacterial small subunit ribosomal RNA
Source: RNAcentral